GGGGGCGUAAAGGUUUCGACGGGGGCUUUGCAGCCGGAUAAGCGGGCAGAAGAGCGUGGCUUCUAUAAAAAACGUAAACUUAAAAUUAAACGCUAACGAAAAUUUAGCUGCUGCCUAAGGGCAGUCGUCACGCCGAAGAGGACUGCGGCUUCGGAUGUGGCGUCACACAGCAGUGAAUGUGAAUGUGCCUAAGCUUUGCGGCAUAUCAUGAAUUUAUGAAGCUACCUGACCGUGCAGAGUGCCGUUUCUCGGCACGGAAAGGGAAUUUAAAUAAACGGAUGCGCCCGGAGAAGGUCUCGUGAAUAGGCUUUCGGACAGGGGUUCGAUUCCCCUCGCCUCCACCA
RNAcentral lists this transfer-messenger RNA (344 nucleotides) under Eubacteriales. RNAcentral's name for it is "UBA1206 sp000433115 Standard tmRNA". It matches the Rfam family "transfer-messenger RNA". From Rfam's summary of the family: Bacterial tmRNA, also known as 10Sa RNA or SsrA, is named for its dual tRNA and mRNA-like properties. Its role is to liberate the mRNA from a stalled ribosome. Lineage: Bacteria; Bacillati; Bacillota; Clostridia. RNAcentral also lists the same sequence under 2 other names. The record is from RNAcentral.